GACGAACGCUGGCGGCGUGCUUAACACAUGCAAGUCGAACGGAAAGGCCCUGCUUUUGUGGGGUGCUCGAGUGGCGAACGGGUGAGUAACACGUGAGUAACCUGCCCUUGACUUUGGGAUAACUUCAGGAAACUGGGGCUAAUACCGGAUAGGAGCUCCUGCUGCAUGGUGGGGGUUGGAAAGUUUCGGCGGUUGGGGAUGGACUCGCGGCUUAUCAGCUUGUUGGUGGGGUAGUGGCUUACCAAGGCUUUGACGGGUAGCCGGCCUGAGAGGGUGACCGGACGAUUUGCGGGUAGAACACGCGCCGGACGACUGAGGGAGGCAGGAGUGAGGAAUAUUGCAGCAGGGGGGGAGCCUGGCGGCAGUAGGGACGCGGGCGGGCUGAUGUCCUUCGGGAUGACAACGGCUGUCGGCGUGGAAGUAGGGGGAGGGGUGUUAAGGGGUAAAUAAGCACCGGCAAACUACGCGCCAUACGCCGAGUGACAAAUCGAAGAACCCAGUUCUAAAC
This 508-nucleotide ribosomal RNA is filed under the name uncultured bacterium. RNAcentral describes it as "partial 16S ribosomal RNA". It matches the Rfam family "Bacterial small subunit ribosomal RNA", at positions 36 to 538 of the family's 1533-position model. The record is from RNAcentral.